GCCGCGGAUAUUUGAUCGGCCUACAUGUCUCCGGCUUCUGUUCCCUUCUCUCCCAGCAUUACCGGGAAAAAGUCAUUACCGCUGGAAGCCUUCUCUGGAGGACGAGAUCUGGGAGUUUAUCCUCAAACGCAGAAUAACAGCAUGCUGUGUCAGCAGUCUGGUCUGAAACAUGUCAUGAAUCAGAGGGGACGGAGAUGUUGUCCAACCUAUAGAAGGAAAACAGAGAGGGAGAAAAUGAAAGAGAAAGAGAGGGCAUCGUGCAAACUGACAAUUCCAGCGACUCUGUCAGACAGCAGUUGACUGCUAUUCUGCUAUUCCUGUUAGAGGGCUGAACCCACUCUGCCUUG
This 347-nucleotide long non-coding RNA is filed under the name Sinocyclocheilus grahami. Its description in RNAcentral is "lncRNA (ENSSGRG00000037338.1)". Lineage: Eukaryota; Metazoa; Chordata; Actinopteri; Cypriniformes; Cyprinidae. The record is from RNAcentral.